GUGCCAGCCGCGCGGUAAUACGGAGGAUGCAAGCGUUAUCCGGAUUUAUUGGGUUUAAAGGGUGCGCAGGCGGAAUGGUAAGUCAGUGGUGAAAUCUCCCGGCUCAACCGGGAAACUGCCGUUGAUACUGCCGUUCUAGAGUACAGUUGGGGUGGGCGGAAUGUGUCAUGUAGCGGUGAAAUGCUUAGAUAUGACACAGAACACCGAUCGCGAAGGCAGCUCACCAAGUUGUAACUGACGCUCAUGCACGAAAGCGUGGGGAUCAAACAGG
Molecule: ribosomal RNA, 271 nt
Filed under: uncultured bacterium
Lineage: Bacteria
Description: partial 16S ribosomal RNA
Rfam family: Bacterial small subunit ribosomal RNA
Source: RNAcentral